AAAUUCGCUGUAAAAAUGGCCAAGGUUACUUCAGGUCACCUAAUCACGUGACACAACCGUCACAUUGAAGAAGUACCAGUAUCACCCAGGCUGGCGACCAUGGAGGCGAACUCAAACCCAACGGAACUUUUGCUGGAUCAUAUUUUUGAUAGGCUCCGUGAUCGUUUGGAGCAUGUUCUGGAACGGAUGCCCCUGGAUCUGGAUUUCCUAGACUUUAUCUGCACUCAAGAAUUAGCAUUUCAGGAUAUCUGAAACAGUUCAUUGCAAAUGCCACACCACCUGAACUGAAAGAGUUGAUGAAAUUCUGGACCGGUUGGGAAAAUCUUCCAUCAAGUCUGUCGGUGGAGAUUGUUCAUGGGAACUACCCAACAGCUGCCACAUGCUACGAAACACUAAAACUUCCCUGUCAUUACAAGAAUUAAAAGUCAUUCAGUGAGGACUUCUUAGCAUGCAUUUCCUCUACACAAUCUGGAUUUGGCUUGAUCUGAGUGAUCGACUUGUUAAAAAAAAAAA
Molecule: long non-coding RNA, 513 nt
Organism: Fundulus heteroclitus (mummichog)
Lineage: Eukaryota; Metazoa; Chordata; Actinopteri; Cyprinodontiformes; Fundulidae
Exons: 3
Source: RefSeq, a predicted model, not a curated record